UGUGGGAGCGGGCUUGCUCGCGAUUGGAACGGUGCGGUGUGACUGUCUGACCGAGUCGCUUGCAUCGCGAGCAAGCCCGCUCCCACA
RNAcentral lists this unclassified non-coding RNA (87 nucleotides) under Pseudomonas psychrophila. Lineage: Bacteria; Pseudomonadati; Pseudomonadota; Gammaproteobacteria; Pseudomonadales; Pseudomonadaceae. The record is from RNAcentral.